CCUACGGGAGGCAGCAGUGGGGAAUAUUGCACAAUGGGCGCAAGCCUGAUGCAGCCAUGCCGCGUGUAUGAAGAAGGCCUUCGGGUUGUAAAGUACUUUCAGUCGUGAAGAAGGUGUUAAGGUUAAUAACCUUAGAAAUUGACGUUAGCGACAGAAGAAGCACCGGCUAACUCCGUGCCAGCAGCCGCGGUAAUACGGAGGGUGCGAGCGUUAAUCGGAAUUACUGGGCGUAAAGGGCACGCAGGCGGUUAAUUAAGUUGGAUGUGAAAUCCCCUGUCUUAACCUGGGGAUGGCAUUCAGGCGUGGUUAGCGAGGUUCGUGUAGAGGGGGGUAGAAGUCCAUGUGUAGCGGUGAAAUGCGUUGAGAUGUGGAGGACUACCGGUGGCGAAGGCGGCCCCCUGGACAAAGACUGACGCUCAUGUGCGAAAGCGUGGGGAGCAAACAGGAUUAGAUACCCUGGUAGUC
Molecule: ribosomal RNA, 465 nt
Filed under: uncultured Arsenophonus sp.
Lineage: Bacteria; Pseudomonadati; Pseudomonadota; Gammaproteobacteria; Enterobacterales; Morganellaceae
Description: bacterial SSU rRNA
Rfam family: Bacterial small subunit ribosomal RNA
Source: RNAcentral